UCCUACGGGAGGCAGCAGUGGGGAAUAUUGCACAAUGGGCGCAAGCCUGAUGCAGCCAUGCCGCGUGUAUGAAGAAGGCCUUCGGGUUGUAAAGUACUUUCAGCGGGGAGGAAGGAGAUAAGGUUAAUAACCUCGUCGAUUGACGUUACCCGCAGAAGAAGCACCGGCUAACUCCGUGCCAGCAGCCGCGGUAAUACGGAGGGUGCAAGCGUUAAUCGGAAUUACUGGGCGUAAAGCGCACGCAGGCGGUCUGUCAAGUCGGAUGUGAAAUCCCCGGGCUCAACCUGGGAACUGCAUUCGAAACUGGCAGCCUGGACUCUUGUAGAGGGGGGUAGAAUUCCAGGGUAGCGUUGAAGGGCGUAGAGAUCUGGAGGAAUACCGGUGGCGAAGGCGGCCCCCGGGACAAAGACUGACGAUCAGGUGCGAAAUUUUAGGGGGCAAACAGGAUUACCUACCCGGGUACUCCAC
RNAcentral lists this ribosomal RNA (468 nucleotides) under uncultured bacterium. Its description in RNAcentral is "bacterial SSU rRNA". It matches the Rfam family "Bacterial small subunit ribosomal RNA", at positions 337 to 798 of the family's 1533-position model. The record is from RNAcentral.